UAUUAGGUUGGGGCAAAAGUCAUUGCGGUUUUUGCCAUUGAAAGUAAUGGCAAAAAAGGCAGUGACUUUUGCCCCAACCUAAUA
Molecule: microRNA precursor, 84 nt
Organism: Gorilla gorilla gorilla (western lowland gorilla)
Lineage: Eukaryota; Metazoa; Chordata; Mammalia; Primates; Hominidae
Rfam family: mir-548 microRNA precursor family
Source: Rfam